GUCCACGCCGUAAACUAUCAAUACUCGUUUUCAGCGAUAUACAGUUGGAGACUAAGCGAAAGUGAUAAGUAUUGCACCUGGGGAGUACGAUCGCAAGGUUGAAACUCAAAGGAAUUGACGGGGGCCCGCACAAGCGGUGGAGCAUGUGGUUUAAUUCGAUGAUACGCGAGGAACCUUACCAGGGCUUAAAUGUAGAAGGAAUGAUGUGGAAACAUGUCAGUCUUCGGACCGUCUACAAGGUGCUGCAUGGCUGUCGU
Molecule: ribosomal RNA, 257 nt
Filed under: uncultured bacterium
Lineage: Bacteria
Description: partial 16S ribosomal RNA
Rfam family: Bacterial small subunit ribosomal RNA
Source: RNAcentral